Molecule: ribosomal RNA, 492 nt
Filed under: uncultured bacterium
Lineage: Bacteria
Description: partial 16S ribosomal RNA
Rfam family: Bacterial small subunit ribosomal RNA
Source: RNAcentral
AGUGAACGCUGGCGGUAGGCCUAACACAUGCAAGUCGAACGGCGGCACAGUAAGAGCUUGCUCUUACGGGUGGCGAGUGGCGGACGGGUGAGGAAUACAUCGGAAUCUACUUUUUCGUGGGGGAUAACGUAGGGAAACUUACGCUAAUACCGCAUACGACCUACGGGUGAAAGCAGGGGAUCUUCGGACCUUGCGCGAUUGAAUGAGCCGAUGUCGGAUUAGCUAGUUGGCGGGGUAAAGGCCCACCAAGGCGACGAUCCGUAGCUGGUCUGAGAGGAUGAUCAGCCACCCUGGAACUGAGACACGGUCCAGACUCCUACGGGAGGCAGCAGUGGGGAAUAUUGGACAAUGGGCGCAAGCCUGAUCCAGCCAUACCGCGUGGGUGAAGAAGGCCUUCGGGUUGUAAAGCCCUUUUGUUGGGAAAGAAAAGCAGCAGGUUAAUACCCCGCUGUUCUGACGGUACCCAAAGAAUAAGCACCGGCUAACUUCGUG